CUUCUGGCCAGGCUGCUCUCCCCCCAGCCUCUGAGGCAGCUGCAGCUCUGGGGCUGGCAGGCUGCAGCCGUGCUGCUCGGCCCUGCUCCCUAGAGCAGGCUGUGGCCACGCCGCCUGGCCUGCCAGUGCAUGCUGCAGCCAUGCCGCCCGACCCAGCCCGCUGGAACAUGCUGCAUCAGCACCGCCUGGCCUGCCAGAGCAGCUCCAGCCAAGCCAGAGACAUCCUCACCUGGCCUGCCCCAGCUAAGGUGCUUUUGGGGACCCCACAGCCAAGCCUCUCUUAAUCAAUACUACUCUGCACCACUACCUUCCUGCACAGACGACAUACCACGGCAAGCAUGGAGCCCGCUCAGCUCACCGUCACCGUAUGUCUCCUGGGUGCUGCUGGCAGACGCGGUACAGCAUUGCUACACAGCAGCAGCUCCUUGCCUUCACGGCAGCAGAUGGUGCAGUACGACAGCUAGCCGUCAUCGUCAUGAUGAGAAGCUUUGAAAACCAGUUUCAUGACUGGCCAGGCUACGGUGUGAAAGUUCUGUUUGUUUCUCCUUGAUGAAAACCUGCCCCCUUGGUUCACUCUACUUCCCUGUAAGCCAACUGCCCUCCCCUCCCCCCUUUGAUCACCGCUUGCAGAGGCAAUAAAGUCAUUGUUGUUUCAAA
This is a long non-coding RNA of Emys orbicularis (European pond turtle), 657 nucleotides long. RefSeq lists it as uncharacterized. NCBI's taxonomy places the organism in Eukaryota, Metazoa, Chordata, Testudines, Emydidae. The record is from RefSeq and is a predicted model, not a curated record. The transcript is spliced from 3 exons.